Molecule: ribosomal RNA, 274 nt
Filed under: uncultured bacterium
Lineage: Bacteria
Description: partial 16S ribosomal RNA
Rfam family: Bacterial small subunit ribosomal RNA
Source: RNAcentral
AUACGGAGGGUGCAAGCGUUACUCGGAAUCACUGGGCGUAAAGGAUGCGUAGGCGGAUAAUCAAGUCAAAAGUGAAAUCCUACAGCUUAACUGUAGAACUGCUUUCGAAACUGGUUAUCUAGAGUAUGGAAGAGGCAGAUGGAAUUAGUGGUGUAGCGGUAAAAUCCGUAGAGAUCACUAGGAAUACCGAUUGCGAAGGCGAUCUGCUGGGACAUUAUUGACGCUGAGGCAUGAAAGCGUGGGGAGCAAACAGGAUUAGAAACCCUAGUAGUCC